UGCAGAUCUACAGGGUGUCUGUGCUGCUGAGUGUCCAGAGCUGACCUGAAGGAGGGACUAAUCCGGAAGUGAGAACCAGUGAGGUUGAUCUGCAGUGCAAGCCUUUCUACCUGUGACCGACUUGGUUUUCACAUUGACAUCCACGACUGGAUUUACUCAUAUUGCUGUGUACCUGGGGGACACUCCCGGCUCAAACUCUUACCUUCUGGUGGAUCGGAGCCCCUUAUUUCUCUCCUUUCUCUUUAUUAUUAUCAUUCAGAUUUAACUCUCUCCCUCAGCAAGAUAAUUAGUGUCACUCUAAAAAAAAUGAAGUCAUUUAAGAUGAGGAAGAGUUGGGUAAUUGUUCAAAAAUCAUAUGCAGGGAGGCCACAGACAGCAUCUUCAUUUUUUUCUGAACUAAUCCCACAAGCAAGACGGUAUGGAG
RNAcentral lists this long non-coding RNA (424 nucleotides) under Cricetulus griseus (Chinese hamster). Its description in RNAcentral is "lncRNA (ENSCGRG00015043289.1)". Lineage: Eukaryota; Metazoa; Chordata; Mammalia; Rodentia; Cricetidae. The record is from RNAcentral.